Molecule: ribosomal RNA, 1430 nt
Filed under: Peanut witches'-broom phytoplasma
Lineage: Bacteria; Bacillati; Mycoplasmatota; Mollicutes; Acholeplasmatales; Acholeplasmataceae
Description: bacterial SSU rRNA
Rfam family: Bacterial small subunit ribosomal RNA
Source: RNAcentral
CAUGCAAGUCGAACGGAAACCUUCGGGUUUUAGUGGCGAACGGGUGAGUAACACGUAAGCAACCUACCCUAAAGACGAGGAUAACCAUUGGAAACAGUGGCUAAGACUGGAUAGGAAGAUAAAAGGCAUCUUGUAUCUUUUAAAAGACCUAGUUAAUAGGUAUGCUUUAGGAGGGGCUUGCGCCAUAUUAGUUAGUUGGUAGGGUAAUGGCCUACCAAGACGAUGAUGUGUAGCUGGACUGAGAGGUUGAACAGCCACAUUGGGACUGAGACACGGCCCAAACUCCUACGGGAGGCAGCAGUAGGGAAUUUUCGGCAAUGGAGGAAACUCUGACCGAGCAACGCCGCGUGAAUGACGAAGUACUUCGGUAUGUAAAGUUCUUUUAUCGAGGAAGAAAAGCAAAUGGCGAACCAUUUGUUUGCCGGUACUUGAUGAAUAAGCCCCGGCUAAUUAUGUGCCAGCAGCCGCGGUAAGACAUAAGGGGCAAGUGUUAUCCGGAAUUAUUGGGCGUAAAGGGUGCGUAGGCGGUCUAGUAAGUCAGUGGUGUAAUGGCAACGCUUAACGUUGUCCGGCUAUUGAUACUGCUAAACUUGAGUUAGAUAGAGGCGAGUGGAAUUCCAUGUGUAGCGGUAAAAUGCGUAAAUAUAUGGAGGAACACCAGAGGCGUAGGCGGCUCGCUGGGUCUUAACUGACGCUGAGGCACGAAAGCGUGGGGAGCAAACAGGAUUAGAUACCCUGGUAGUCCACGCCGUAAACGAUGAGUACUAAGUGUCGGGUUAAACCGGUACUGAAGUUAACACAUUAAGUACUCCGCCUGAGUAGUACGUACGCAAGUAUGAAACUUAAAGGAAUUGACGGGACUCCGCACAAGCGGUGGAUCAUGUUGUUUAAUUCGAAGAUACCCGAAAAACCUUACCAGGUCUUGACAUGUUUUUGCAAAAUGAUAGUAAUAUCGUGGAGGUUACCAGAAACACAGGUGGUGCAUGGUUGUCGUCAGCUCGUGUCGUGAGAUGUUAGGUUAAGUCCUAAAACGAGCGAAACCCUUAUCGUUAGUUGCCAGCACGUUAUGGUGGGGACUUUAACGAGACUGCCAAUGAUAAAUUGGAGGAAGGUGAGGAUCACGUCAAAUCAGCAUGCCCCUUAUGACCUGGGCUACAAACGUGAUACAAUGGCUGUUACAAAGGGUAGCUGAAACGCAAGUUCUUGGCCAAUCCCCAAAAACAGUCCCAGUCCGGAUUGAAGUCUGCAACUCGACUUCAUGAAGUUGGAAUCGCUAGUAAUCGCGAAUCAGCAUGUCGCGGUGAAUACGUUCUCGGGGUUUGUACACACCGCCCGUCAAACCACGAAAGUUGGCAAUACCCCAAAACGGUAGCCUAACUCGUUUAUUCGAGAGGGCGCCGUCUAAGGUAGGGUCGAUGAUUGGGGUUAAG